This 253-nucleotide ribosomal RNA is filed under the name uncultured bacterium. Its description in RNAcentral is "partial 16S ribosomal RNA". It matches the Rfam family "Bacterial small subunit ribosomal RNA", at positions 524 to 776 of the family's 1533-position model. The record is from RNAcentral.
UACAGAGGGUGCGAGCGUUGUCCGGAAUUAUUGGGCGUAAAGAGCGUGUAGGCGGUCCGGUAAGUCGGUUGUGAAAGCCCAGGGCUCAACCCUGGGAUGCCGACCGAUACUGUCGGACUAGAGUUCGGAAGAGGCGAGUGGAAUUCCCGGUGUAGCGGUGAAAUGCGCAGAUAUCGGGAGGAACACCUAUGGCGAAGGCAGCUCGCUGGGACGUUACUGACGCUGAGGAGCGAAAGCGUGGGGAGCGAACAGG